AGUCGAGCGCCCCGCAAGGGAGCGGCAGACGGGUGAGUAACGCGUGGGAAUCUACCCAUCUCUACGGAAUAACGCAUGGAAACGUGUGCUAAUACCGUAUACGUCCUUCGGGAGAAAGAUUUAUCGGAGAUGGAUGAGCCCGCGUUGGAUUAGCUAGUUGGUGGGGUAAAGGCCUACCAAGGCGACGAUCCAUAGCUGGUCUGAGAGGAUGAUCAGCCACACUGGGACUGAGACACGGCCCAGACUCCUACGGGAGGCAGCAGUGGGGAAUAUUGGACAAUGGGCGCAAGCCUGAUCCAGCCAUGCCGCGUGUGUGAUGAAGGCCCUAGGGUUGUAAAGCACUUUCACCGGAGAAGAUAAUGACGGUAUCCGGAGAAGAAGCCCCGGCUAACUUCGUGCCAGCAGCCGCGGUAAUACGAAGGGGGCUAGCGUUGUUCGGAUUUACUGGGCGUAAAGCGCACGUAGGCGGACUAUUAAGUCAGGGGUGAAAUCCCGGGGCUCAACCCCGGAACUGCCUUUGAUACUGGUAGUUUUGAGUUCGAGAGAAGGUGAGUGGAAUUCCGAGUGUAGAGGUGAAAUUCGUAGAUAUUCGGAGGAACACCAGUGGCGAAGGCGGCUCACUGGCUCGAUACUGACGCUGAGGUGCGAAAGCGUGGGGAGCAAA
This 664-nucleotide ribosomal RNA is filed under the name uncultured Phyllobacterium sp. Its description in RNAcentral is "bacterial SSU rRNA". It matches the Rfam family "Bacterial small subunit ribosomal RNA", at positions 60 to 772 of the family's 1533-position model. The record is from RNAcentral. Lineage: Bacteria; Pseudomonadati; Pseudomonadota; Alphaproteobacteria; Hyphomicrobiales; Phyllobacteriaceae.